Molecule: non-coding RNA, 419 nt
Organism: Biomphalaria pfeifferi
Lineage: Eukaryota; Metazoa; Mollusca; Gastropoda; Planorbidae
Source: the annotation of a GenBank genome assembly
CCCCUGCUUUAGAUCAAAAUCUAGUCCGCAAGUGUAAUGACACAAAAGUAAGAUGCGUAAAUGGUUAGGUUUAAUUUGGGUAUUUCCUUGGUGAAGCGACAGUUGGGAAAUAGAUUAGAAACGAGUAACGGACGAACGACGACGAAGUGACCGGCUUGUAGCAAAUAGAUACGACGUAGACUCUGCUCUUCUUCCAUAAUAAACUGUUGUCUUAUGUAAACAUUGGAUUAUUUCAUUAUUUACUAUUAUUUGUUCUGUUGGAGGUAGGUAUGAUAACAUAACCAGGGCAAUCUACACUUACUAUAUCUAAUCAACCACACUCAACACAAGAUGGUUGCCUGGUCGUGCGGUUUGUUACGUUCGGAUUUAUCGACGGUCGAGAGUUCAAACCCUGCCCGCUCCCAUCCCCCGUCGUCCUG